GCCUCCGUGGUGUAGUGGUCAGCACACUCGGCGCGUAAUCAAGAAGUCCGGGGUUCGAGUCCUGGCGAGGGCA
RNAcentral lists this transfer RNA (73 nucleotides) under Stegodyphus mimosarum. It matches the Rfam family "tRNA". From Rfam's summary of the family: Transfer RNA (tRNA) molecules are approximately 80 nucleotides in length. Their secondary structure includes four short double-helical elements and three loops (D, anti-codon, and T loops). Lineage: Eukaryota; Metazoa; Arthropoda; Arachnida; Araneae; Eresidae. The record is from Rfam by way of RNAcentral.